This 655-nucleotide long non-coding RNA is filed under the name Vulpes vulpes (red fox). RNAcentral describes it as "lncRNA (ENSVVUG00000010855.1)". The record is from RNAcentral. Lineage: Eukaryota; Metazoa; Chordata; Mammalia; Carnivora; Canidae.
CGGGCUUCCACCCCUCUGGGUUCUCCUGAGAUGAGGGGAAGAGAUUGCUCUGCGACAUCCCUUCUCUUGCUGCGCCCGCUUCUGCUUCUGCUCGGGGGUUCAGAGUUGGGUGAGGAAACUAACUUUGGAGAAGAUGCAAGCGCUGCUCCGGGCUCGCCGAAGUGGGGGUCGGACCCACGGAGGGAAAGCAUCCUGGGACUCCGGCAAGGAACAAGCCAAAAUGUACCCACUAAAACCCAUUGAGCAGCACUGAUGACUCACAGACAAAACAAAACUAUACCAGUGGUGGCCUUAGGAUCACCAAAAAUCAAGUAAUUGACAACCUAGGCUCCACUGAGGACUACAGUACUGAACACCGGGUAACCUCUGCAGACCCGGCCACCACCGAGGACAACGCCUCUGCAGACCCGGCCAUCACCGAGGGCUCUUUUACUGCUGUCCUGGGAACCACCAAGAGCUAUAUCACUAAACAUCCAGACACUCGCCCUGAGAGAACAAUUGCAAUAACCUCAGUGAAACCCACUGGGCAGCUGACACCUACGGUGUUGACAUCCUCAUUUCCCUGGCUGCCACCACAAUGGCAGUUGCACUCCUUGUUGGACUUGGCUUCUUUGUGGUGAGUAUUGGCCCAGAAUGUAAAGGACAUUAUGCGCAA